GAUGAACGCUGGCGGCGUGCCUGAUACAUGCAAGUCGAGCGAACAGACGAUUAGCUUGCUCCUCUGACGUUAGCGGCGGAAGGGUGAGUAACACGUGGAUAACCUACCUAUAAGACUGGGAUAACUUCGGGAAACCGGAGCUAAUACCGUAUACUAUAUUGAACCGCAUGGUUCAAUAGUUACAGCCGGUUUUGCUGUCACUUAUAGCUGGCUCCGCGCCGCAUUAGCUAGUUGGUAAGGUAACGGCUUACCAGGGCAACGAUGCGUAGCCGACCUGAGAGGGUGAACGGGCACACUGAGAGUGAGACACGACACAGACUCCGAGGGAAGGCACAGGCAGGGACUCUAGCGAACAGGGCGGAAGCCUGACGGAGCGACGCAGCGCGAGUGAUGAAGGGCUGCGGACCGUAUAACUCCGUUAUUAGGGAAGAACAAAUGUGGAAGUAACUAUGCACGUCUUGACGGUACCUGAACAGAAAGCAACGGCUAACUACGUG
Molecule: ribosomal RNA, 497 nt
Filed under: uncultured bacterium
Lineage: Bacteria
Description: partial 16S ribosomal RNA
Rfam family: Bacterial small subunit ribosomal RNA
Source: RNAcentral